Molecule: ribosomal RNA, 639 nt
Filed under: Triticum aestivum (bread wheat)
Lineage: Eukaryota; Viridiplantae; Streptophyta; Magnoliopsida; Poales; Poaceae
Description: partial small subunit ribosomal RNA
Source: RNAcentral
AUGUGGAGCUCCGACUCCGACCCCGAUUAUGCAGCCGGCGCCGCCGCGAUGACCACGGCAUCGUCCUCUACCUGCUCAUCCAACCCGUCGACACCACCGGUUUCCUCCCCGAGCCAGCCUCCGCCACCACACCGCCACAAGAGCAUUGUGGGCGUGGGUGUGGCCGCGACUGGCAGGGAGGCGGAGGCCGAGGACGUGUGGGACGGGGCUCGGUGGGAGGCGGCGUGGCCACGGCGCCCGAAGCCGGUGGUCGUCGCCGCCGAGCAGACGCACAGCACCGGCGUCGCGUCCUCAUCUUGUGACGGCGUCGGCUAGGGCUGCGCGAGGAGUCUCACCGACGACGACCUGGCGGACCUCAAAGGGUGCGCGGAUUUGGGCUUCGGCUUCAGAUACGACGAGAUCCCGGAGCUGCGCGGGACCCUGCCCGCCCUUGAGCUCUGCUACUCCAUGAGGCAGCGCUUCCUCGACCACGACCAGCCCCAGGCACCGCAGGAGCAGGAGACGGCCGCCACGCCGACGACCUCGCCGCCCAUUGCCGACUGGAAGAUCUCCAGCCCAGGGGAUAGCACGGAGGAGGUGAAGGCGCGGCUCAGGUACUGGGCGCAGGCGGUGGCGUGCACCGUCAGGCUCUGCAGCUGA